AUUGAACGCUGGCGGCAGGCCUAACACAUGCAAGUCGAACGGUAACAGGAAGACGCUUGCUUCUUUGCUGACGAGUGGCGGACGGGUGAGUAAUGUCUGGGAAACUUCCUGAUGGAGGGGGAUAACUACCGGAAACGGUAGCUAAUACCGCAUAACGUCGCAAGACCAAAGAGGGGGACCUUCGGGCCUCUUGCCAUCGGAUGUGCCCAGAUGGGAUUAGCUAGUAGGUGGGGUAACGGCUCACCUAGGCGACGAUCCCUAGCUGGUCUGAGAGGAUGACCAGCCACACUGGAACUGAGACACGGUCCAGACUCCUACGGGAGGCAGCAGUGGGGAAUAUUGCAAAAUGGGCGAAAGCCUGAUGCAGCCAUGCCGCGUGUAUGAAGAAGGCCUUCGGGUUGUAAAGUACUUUCAGCGGGGAGGAAGGGAGUAAAGUUAAUACCUUUACUCAUUGACGUUACCCGCAGAAGAAGCACCGGCUAACUCCGUG
This 490-nucleotide ribosomal RNA is filed under the name uncultured bacterium. RNAcentral describes it as "partial 16S ribosomal RNA". It matches the Rfam family "Bacterial small subunit ribosomal RNA", at positions 30 to 507 of the family's 1533-position model. The record is from RNAcentral.